Molecule: transfer RNA, 90 nt
Filed under: Fidelibacterota bacterium
Lineage: Bacteria; Pseudomonadati; Fidelibacterota
Description: tRNA-Tyr
Rfam family: tRNA
About the family: Transfer RNA (tRNA) molecules are approximately 80 nucleotides in length.
Source: RNAcentral
CUCGUGAUAGCUCAGUUGGUAGAGCGACGGAUUGUAGAGGUCAAGUAUUCAAAACUCCGUUGGCNGGGUGUUCGAAUCACCCUCGCGAGA